GGGGAGCGCCCCGCAGCGCCGCUCCCGUGCGCUGUGCCCUUCCGGGCCUCGACGCGUCCAUCUCUGCGGCACAAACGGGCGGGGCCGCUGGCCUCGGGGCGACCGUCGGCUGGGUCGGGACCUCACGAUCCUGACCUGAGCCUAAAGCAGAUGCUUAACCGACUGAGCCACCCAGGCGCCGUUGGCGGGUCCUUUUUAAUGAUGCCAAGAGCUCCUCAUACUAUGGAAAAGCAGAGCACAGAUGAUUCAGCAGGUCCAGUAAGUUCCUCUUUGGUCCAGGCAUUAGAACACGACAGAUUUCCUCUGGGCUAGGCUUUCUCGUCUGUUCCAGCAGUGAUCCUCACAACAACCUCAUCACCUACGCUGAACACGGUAGACCUACUAAAGGCCCAGCUCCCUGUAGCCACAACCACUGUGGUCUCCCUGCAUUAGAACUCUAACAUACCAACUUUUUGGAGUCUUUCAACACCAGUUCAGAGGUACUGUUAAUAUGCGGGCCUUCCCACGACUAGAUGGAUCCAUAUUUCUGCUCUUAUGAAGAUCUACAUUCAGCACUUCCCUAGCUAUACCUACCACAGACAAUGUACUCAGCAGCUCCAAACAGGCCACCACGGCCAUUAAGAACAUGACCCAGGCCCCACAAUUAAUGCUGGACAUGGUCAGAGAAGUCACCAAUCCAGUGAUUCUCAAAAUGUGGUCCUUGGACCAGUAGCAUCAGUAUCACCCGGGACCUCGUUAGAAAGGCAAUUUAUUCAACUCUCACCCCAGGCCAUGCCAAAGCUGGGGUUGAGGACAGUGAUUUGCAAUUUAAAAAACCUUCUAGUUGAUUCUGUUGUACACUCAAGUGCAAGAACCACUGAACUAAUACAAACCACCUAUUUUACAGAUAAGAAUGAGACUUAUGAAAAUUAAAGGAGUUAUCCAUGACCUCACUCCUAGUUGGUGCUAGGACCCGCAUCUGGUGUCCAGUCCAGGGCUUUUCAUGUUUCAGAACAGCAUUAUUAUGCAUCAUGCCACUUUGCUGACCCUGUUCUAAACUAAUAAAUCCAAGUUAGUAAACACAAAACUUUUGAAGGUAAAGUAUCAAGAAUUGAAGGCUCUAAAGGCAUGCCAUUGCUUCAUCCCACUAUUUUCACUCCCCUGCAGACAGCUAAAUCUUCUAGGAAACAAUAAAUAUAUCCACUAGGAGAACCAGAUCAAAGCUCUUGACUACAUCUGAGUAACAGUGUUCAGUAAGGCAAGUAAUGAAUUUGUACUAAUUAAAGUUCUGAAAGAGAAAAAGCAAUACACUGUAGAUAUGGGAAUUCGAUUAAUAAAACAAAGGGUCUCCCCUGUCCACAUCUCCUUAUCUGCAGAUUUAAAAAUCACAUAGAAUUUUAACAAUAACGAGGGCUUUUACGCCUUGCUUUAUGUGUGCGUCUUGGACCCAUGUACAGCUUUUGAUAUAUGCUCCUCGGCUAGGAAGAAAGAAAACCAGUCGUGAUCAUCGCUCCGCUAAGUCACAAAUACUGACGUUAAAAAUGUGGAUCAUUUACAGUUGAGGUCAAAUAUAUUCCCCUAGAUCAUCCUUGAGUUUGUUCAGAUAGCUGAUUAUUCACUUGCCAAAAUAAGCUCUCAAAUAAACAAAUGGUCUGCUGAAAGAACAAAGUAGGAGUUAUUCAAGUGCUUAGUGAAUUCAUCAGUCACAAACACUAGAGGGGGAAAAAAGAAAGACUGUGUCCUAGAGAGUGUGUCUAGCCAUGUCCAGCCCAUGCCUGCCCUACACUCUACUGUCUGUGCAAGCAGAACUGCAGCCCUCGGAGUCUGGCUGCUGCUGAACAGUCCAAUUCAAGGACUACUUGAAUUGCAGUGACAGAAAUGUUCAAAGUCUUAUCAUAACAGAAACCACUCUGCCCUAAAGUCAACAUUUUGCUGAAGAAAAAGAUUGAUUGAACCAAGAACAAUUCCCUAGACACAUCACUCUGAAACAAGAAUGAAUGAUGGUAGUGAAAGCAAAGUCAUCCCUGGAGUCGUUUACGGUUCCCUAAGAACCUUCUAGAAGGAUCAUUUAUAGUUGAUGAAUUUAAGACAUAACUGUAAAGGAAAGAUUGGGAGACUGAGGUUGGGGGUGAAUUUAUAUGAAUUUCUAUAAAUAUAUGUACAUUUACUAAAACGAGGCAAUAAAAGUAAACAACGCACUGUGAGUUUUGAUACGUAAUAAGUUGGCAGUCCUAACGUAACCCUGUUGAAUUCCAUUUAUCGUUCCUGGAUGACAUAGUCUUUAGGAUCUUCCCCUGCAGAUUCAAUGAGAUGUUUGCAAAUUCUUUUGUUGCAUAUUGAAAUGCAUAUUUUUCCAGGCAUUUUUCUUUUUUUUAAAUCUAAACUAAUGUUUUUGAAAUUCUAAACUCUCACCUUCUGUUACUUGC
Long non-coding RNA from Canis lupus familiaris (dog), 2405 nucleotides. RefSeq lists it as uncharacterized. The record is from RefSeq and is a predicted model, not a curated record. The transcript is spliced from 3 exons. NCBI's taxonomy places the organism in Eukaryota, Metazoa, Chordata, Mammalia, Carnivora, Canidae.